CUCCUCCAUCCUUGGCUUGUCACUUUGGCAUUCCUAAUCUCUUGUAAUUAGGAAGACCCUGUCUUGGACUUCCACAUCUGCUUUCAUCAGGAAGGCCUAUAAGACAGCACAGCAGUCCUGACAAGGUCAACAAGCCGAAGCUGUGAGCGCAAGAUCUUUAUCUACGUGGGAAAUAAGAAAAUCAUUUGACUGAUAAAAGGAAAUACAAUAAAUAGCAUCUAAAUUCCUGGCUGCGUUCCCCCGAGCCCCUCCUUUGCAAGAGAAAGUGCCAGGGCAGGAAUACAACUGCCACUACAGCAGGUUUAAAAAUAGCACUCUGCACACAGCCCUUCCUACCUUCCAGAAAGACUUCAUUACCAGGUCCUCAGCCCUGAGCCUGCAGAGCCGCUGGCUGCGGGCGCUUUCUUGCCCCUGCUCUAGAUUUUUCUUCUUUGGAAGCAUGAAGGCAGCGGGUGUGAUACAUUUCCCUCCCGCUCAGCUAGUUUCAGUCCUAGCACGUCUGGCGCACACAGCGGAAGUCCAUUGUAUUUAAUGGGGUGUUAACUCUGUUUAUUCUCUAGGACUUGUGCGGUAAUUUUACACUCUGCAAAACUAGCAACUUGAACCUGAAGUGCUUUUCCUCCCUUCCGUGCCACUCCAACAGGCCUCUGUCUCCAGGUUCUUCUGCAGGCCUAGAGUUCCCCAGCUGGUUCAACCAAAGUUGCUUCCCACUGUUAACACUGCUGUGGGCCGAGACAGGCUUGCCUCUCUUACAGACUUGUUUUUGCCAUCUAUUAAGUGGGGAUUUGGAUCUUCCUUGUGUACCUAGAAAAGCUGUUGACACUGGUCCUCUAGUUCCCAGCUGCUGGGUCACAUGUGUAUCUCCUGUUAAGACUGUUAAUGUAAGUGACCAGAUGAUCCCAGCUAGACUAAAUCUCUGAGUCUCCAUCAAAACAGACAAAGCAGGGGCUGGAGGGAUGGCUCAGUGAGUAAGAGCACUUGCUGUCCUUGCAGAUGACUCCAUUUGGUUUCCAGCUCACCACUGCCUAUAACUCCAGUUCAGAGGAUCCCACAUCAUCUUCUGACCUCUAAGGGCACCGUACACACAUGGUGC
This 1093-nucleotide long non-coding RNA is filed under the name Cricetulus griseus (Chinese hamster). Its description in RNAcentral is "lncRNA (ENSCGRG00015041306.1)". The record is from RNAcentral. Lineage: Eukaryota; Metazoa; Chordata; Mammalia; Rodentia; Cricetidae.